CAUGUAGGUAUCUGCCCUUUGGCCUGGAAUAACACGAGGAAACUUGUGCUAAUACUGGAUAAGUCUUUACGGAGAAAGCUUUAUGCACCAUUGGAUGAGCCUGCACUUGAUUAGUUUGUUGGUGGGGUAAUGGCCUACCAAGACUGUGAUCAAUAGCUGAUUUGAGAGGAUGAUCAGCCACAUUGGGACUGAGACACGGCCCAAACUCCUACGGGAGGCAGCAGUGGGGAAUCUUGCGCAAUGGGCGAAAGCCUGACGCAGCCAUGCCGCGUGAAUGAUGAAGGUCUUAGGAUUGUAAAA
This 300-nucleotide ribosomal RNA is filed under the name uncultured Pelagibacteraceae bacterium. RNAcentral describes it as "bacterial SSU rRNA". It matches the Rfam family "Bacterial small subunit ribosomal RNA", at positions 114 to 430 of the family's 1533-position model. The record is from RNAcentral. Lineage: Bacteria; Pseudomonadati; Pseudomonadota; Alphaproteobacteria; Candidatus Pelagibacterales; Candidatus Pelagibacteraceae.